RNAcentral lists this ribosomal RNA (460 nucleotides) under uncultured bacterium. RNAcentral's name for it is "bacterial SSU rRNA". It matches the Rfam family "Bacterial small subunit ribosomal RNA", at positions 340 to 789 of the family's 1533-position model. The record is from RNAcentral.
UACGGAAGGCAGCAGUGGGGAAUAUUGCACAAUGGGCGAAAGCCUGAUGCAGCUAUGCCGCGUGUAUGAAGAAGGCCUUAGGGUUGUAAAGUACUUUCAUCGGGGAGGAAAAAACAAAACUAAUAAUUUUAUUUCUUGACGUUACCCGAAAAAGAAGCACCGGCUAACUCCGUGCCAGCAGCCGCGGUAAUACGGAGGGUGCUAGCGUUAAUCAGAAUUACUGGGCGUAAAGAGCACGUAGGUGGUUUUUUUAAGUCAGAUGUGAAAUCCCUGGGCUUUAACCUGGAACUGCAUUUUGAAACUGAAAUACUAGAGUAUCGUAGAGGGAGGUAGAAUUCUAGGUGUAGCGGUGAAAUGCGUAGAUAUCUGGAGGAAUACCUGUGGCGAAAGCGGCCUCCUAAACGAAUACUGACACUGAGGGUGCGAAAGCGUGGGGAGCAAACAGGGAUUAGAUACCCGU